UAUCCAAUAGCCAAUCAGUGCAUACAAACAGUUUGUCGUAUGAAUAUAAUAUUAGCCUAACUUUCAAUUAUUUCUUUCCUUCAAGUAACCGAUCAAGUUAUUUUUUAAUUCAUGCUUCAGUUACCAAAUCUUUAGAAAACGCGCGAAAAGAGUUUAUUCUAGUGCAUAUUCGUAAUAUCGCAAUACGUUUUACUUGCAGAUUUUUUGUGCUUCCGUGCAACUUUCUGUAUUUAAAAAUUGAAAAGAGAGAGGAACCACGAAGAGAGGAUUCGACUGUAGAAAAUAUUUUUUUGUAUUUUCGUGCAACUUUCUGUAUUUAAAAAUUGGAAAGGGAGAGGAAUCGAAGAGAGAACUUGACUAUGUAGAAAAUAUUUUUGUGUGCUUCUAUUCUGUAUUUAAAAUUUGGAGAGAGAGGAACCGAAGAACAUGACUGUAAAAAAAUUCUCUUGGAGCGUACGCCUUAGACUUUCACCGAAAGGAACUCUUAACCGUUCAUUCAUAAAUUGAUGAUUGAAGGUUCUCCUGUUCUCCGUUUGGUCACGAGUGAUAUGCUCAUGCGCGUUUUACGCGUAGCGGCAUGAGGGCUCAACUCUACUCUCUAUAAGAGAUUUUUUUCUUUUUUUUUUAAAGAUAUUACAGAGUCACGACAGAGCUAAUGCACGCAAGGGUACACACAGAUUCUCUCCAUACUUCUGGUACCAUCGAAAUAUUUAAUUCAGACAAAAUAAAUUAAACAGCGUACGACUUGAUUAUCAAUUGGACAUGAUACGGAUAGAUAAUAUAACAAUGAUCACAGCUCAUAGCAUGCGCGAAUCAUCGUGGUAAGUGUGUAAACUGAAUUGAAUAAUUUCUUUUGUAUGGUAUCAGCCACAACAUAUGCUUGAUACAUGAAUAGCAUCUAAGAUCGUUGGGCUUGCAAAUCAAUUUUAAUACAAAUACAUUGCAAUAGUGCUUAUUAUCAAUUCUAAGCUCGCGAAACAUUUAUUUACAGUCAUUUAUUUACGGUCAACAUUGAAAAGAGAAUAGAUUGUGCGAAUAAAACUAAUAAAAUUUACAUUACUCUUGCAUACUUUUGUUAAAAAGGGAACGGUUGAAUCAUUUGAUCAAUUGAAUUGAACAAAAACAAAGAAGCAAAUUUGAUAUUAUUGUGUAGAGAAAAAAAAAUGAAAAAGGCGGGAUUUUUUCGUGAAUAAAUUUGACGCGACGUGUUAGACAGUCCUACUGGUCUGACUUGUCACCGAAUAGGGU
Formica exsecta is the source of this 1248-nucleotide long non-coding RNA. RefSeq lists it as uncharacterized. The record is from RefSeq and is a predicted model, not a curated record. NCBI's taxonomy places the organism in Eukaryota, Metazoa, Arthropoda, Insecta, Hymenoptera, Formicidae. The transcript is spliced from 5 exons.